This 73-nucleotide transfer RNA is filed under the name Ovis aries (sheep). It matches the Rfam family "tRNA". Rfam says of the family: Transfer RNA (tRNA) molecules are approximately 80 nucleotides in length. Their secondary structure includes four short double-helical elements and three loops (D, anti-codon, and T loops). Lineage: Eukaryota; Metazoa; Chordata; Mammalia; Artiodactyla; Bovidae. The record is from Rfam by way of RNAcentral.
UCCUUGGUUAUCCAGUGGUUAAGACUCUGCACUUCCAAUGCAGGGGGUACAGGUUUGAUCCCUGGUUGGGGAA